AUACGGAGGGGGCUAGCGUUGUUCGGAAUUACUGGGCGUAAAGCGCACGUAGGCGGAUUGGAAAGUUGGGGGUGAAAUCCCGGGGCUCAACCCCGGAACUGCCUUCAAAACUCCCAGUCUUGAGUUCGAGAGAGGUGAGUGGAAUUCCGAGUGUGGAGGUGAAAUUCGUAGAUAUUCGGAGGAACACCAGUGGCGAAGGCGGCUCACUGGCUCGAUACUGACGCUGAGGUGCGAAAGCGUGGGGAGC
RNAcentral lists this ribosomal RNA (247 nucleotides) under uncultured bacterium. RNAcentral's name for it is "partial 16S ribosomal RNA". It matches the Rfam family "Bacterial small subunit ribosomal RNA", at positions 523 to 769 of the family's 1533-position model. The record is from RNAcentral.